CGGGGGAAGCGAUCAAGCUACCGGAAGAGCUGCUCGGCUCCUCCUCGAAGCAAGGUAAACCCUUAAACCCUUCUCCCCCUCAUGAUUUGUAUCCUGUUUAGCUUAGAUCUAAUCUAGCCAUGAGAUAAAAACAAAGGUAGAAGGAAAUAAAACAAAAGAGAAAUGGAAGAAGAGAAGGGAGGGGGAAGACUCAACUUGUGGUGUUCGGCCGCUGAGUCGGCGUUGGCACGAUCGGCCACGGUUGUGACCACGGCUGUUGACAGCCGAAGACCCUCCUCCUCCCGAUCAUCUCCUUCACAUUUUUAGUUCGACCGUAAUCUAGCAUUCCAUGGAUCCGGCCGUAAUACAUCCUUAAACCACUGUGGAGGCCCUUGCUCUUCCCUUUCAUCUCGGUAGGUAACCUCAAGCUUCAUUUCUUCCGCCGAGGAAGGAGGGGAAGAGGAGAGGUCAAGGAUGAGAAGAAGAGAGAGAGUCCGAUGAUGGCGGCCCUAGAUUAGGUAGCCGAAGACCUUGGAGAGGAUAGAUCGGGGUGAUCCGAGGCCCUCCUUGCUCUCGACGGUGCUCGAGCUUCCAUCUUCCCCCACCGGAGAUGGAGGAAAGGAGCGGCCAGCCGGGCUGCGGCUGCUGCCGGCCAGACCACGGCCGCCGCAGGCGCCGCUGGUUGGCCGCAGCGCCGCCGGCUUCGGGCCGGCCUUCUCCCGAGCACUCCUGCGAACCUCCUUGCCUCAUGGGAGGAGAGGAGAAGAGGAGGGGAGGAGAUCGGGACGAGAAGAGGAAAGAAGGAGAAG
RNAcentral lists this long non-coding RNA (788 nucleotides) under Phoenix dactylifera (date palm). RNAcentral's name for it is "long non-coding RNA (PDAC_LNC008082)". The record is from RNAcentral. Lineage: Eukaryota; Viridiplantae; Streptophyta; Magnoliopsida; Arecales; Arecaceae.